GGGACACGUGGUAUCCUGUCUGAAUAUGGGGGGACCAUCCUCCAAGGCUAAAUACUCCUGACUGACCGAUAGUGAACCAGUACCGUGAGGGAAAGGCGAAAAGAACCCCGGCGAGGGGAGUGAAAAAGAACCUGAAACCGUGUACGUACAAGCAGUGGGAGCCUCUUAAUGGGGUGACUGCGUACCUUUUGUAUAAUGGGUCAGCGACUUAUAUUCUGUAGCAAGGUUAACCGAAUAGGGGAGCCGAAGGGAAACCGAGUCUUAACUGGGCGUUAAGUUGCAGGGUAUAGACCCGAAACCCGGUGAUCUAGCCAUGGGCAGGUUGAAGGUUGGGUAACACUAACUGGAGGACCGAACCGACUAAUGUUGAAAAAUUAGCGGAUGACUUGUGGCUGGGGGUGAAAGGCCAAUCAAACCGGGAGAUAGCUGGUUCUCCCCGAAAGCUAUUUAGGUAGCGCCUCGUGAAUUCAUCUCCGGGGGUAGAGCACUGUUUCGGCAAGGGGGUCAUCCCGACUUACCAACCCGAUGCAAACUGCGAAUACCGGAGAAUGUUAUCACGGGAGA
RNAcentral lists this ribosomal RNA (564 nucleotides) under Escherichia coli. RNAcentral describes it as "partial 23S ribosomal RNA". It matches the Rfam family "Bacterial large subunit ribosomal RNA", at positions 419 to 984 of the family's 2925-position model. Lineage: Bacteria; Pseudomonadati; Pseudomonadota; Gammaproteobacteria; Enterobacterales; Enterobacteriaceae. The record is from RNAcentral.